Molecule: ribosomal RNA, 21 nt
Filed under: Habenaria grandifloriformis
Lineage: Eukaryota; Viridiplantae; Streptophyta; Magnoliopsida; Asparagales; Orchidaceae
Description: partial 26S ribosomal RNA
Source: RNAcentral
GCGACCCCAGGAUGGAUGGGG